RNAcentral lists this ribosomal RNA (477 nucleotides) under uncultured Planctomycetales bacterium. RNAcentral's name for it is "bacterial SSU rRNA". It matches the Rfam family "Bacterial small subunit ribosomal RNA", at positions 364 to 832 of the family's 1533-position model. Lineage: Bacteria; Pseudomonadati; Planctomycetota; Planctomycetia; Planctomycetales. The record is from RNAcentral.
UUUCGCAAUGCCCGAAAGGGUGACGAAGCGACGCCGCGUGUGGGAAGAAGGCCCUCGGGUUGUAAACCACUGUCGGGAGUUAAGAAAGGUGUACGGGUAAAUAGUCCGUGCAUUUGACAAAAGCUCCGGAGGAAGCCACGGCUAACUCUGUGCCAGCAGCCGCGGUAAUACAGAGGUGGCAAGCGUUGUUCGGAAUUAUUGGGCGUAAAGAGCACGUAGGCGGCCCUGCAAGUCAGCUGUGAAAGCCUCCUGCUUAACGGGAGAAGUGCAGUUGAAACUACGGGGCUAGAGUGCGGAAGGGGAGAGUGGAACUUCUGGUGGAGCGGUGAAAUGCGUAGAUAUCAGAAGGAACACCGGCGGCGAAAGCGGCUCUCUGGUCCGUAACUGACGCUGAGGUGCGAAAGCCAGGGGAGCAAACGGGAUUAGAUACCCCGGUAGUCCUAGCCGUAAACGAUGGGCACUAAGUAGAGGGGUUUU